RNAcentral lists this long non-coding RNA (368 nucleotides) under Mustela putorius furo (domestic ferret). RNAcentral describes it as "lncRNA (ENSMPUG00000027311.1)". Lineage: Eukaryota; Metazoa; Chordata; Mammalia; Carnivora; Mustelidae. The record is from RNAcentral.
AUUGACUUUGUUGUAAACAUGUGUGAGCCUGCGUUCGUUCAACAAACUAUAUGUUUUCAUUGCAAAUAAGUGUCCUAAGAUUAUAGAUUAUAAUGCCCUGAAAGACCAACUUUUAAUAAAUUAUUGAUCACAGCUUGAGCUGCCCUGUGUCCAGACUAAAUGCAGCGUGACUUAUCCUAUGGAUCCUGCGGUUUGCUAAACAGCAGCUUCUCCUGGCACAAGCCGCUGCAAAUCAGACAAACUGAGACCAUGCAUUGCACCCGGCAGCUGUGGUAAGGAGUCGUCCACGGCAAGCUUGGCCCAACAGGUAAGAGAAGGCACUGCUCAGUUACGCAGUCCGUUACUGGGGAAAAAUAAUGGCAAUGCUA